GACGAACGCUGGCGGCGUGCUUAACACAUGCAAGUCGAACGGAAAGGCCCUGCUUUUGUGGGGUGCUCGAGUGGCGAACGGGUGAGUAACACGUGAGUAACCUGCCCUUGACUUUGGGAUAACUUCAGGAAACUGGGGUUAAUACCGGACAGGAGCCCCUGUUGCAUGGAGGGGGUUGGAAAGUUUCGGCGGUCGGGGCUGGACUCGCGGCUUAUCAGCUUGUUGGUGGGGUAGGGGCUUACCAAGGCUUUGACGGGUAGCCGGCAUGGGAGGGUGACCGGCCACAUUGGGACUGCGAUACGGCCCAGACUCCUACGGGAGGCAGCGGUGGCGAAUAUUGCACAAUGGGCGGGAGCCUGAUGCAGCAGCGCCGCGUGCGUGAUGACGGCCUUCGGGUUGUAAACCGCUUUCGCCUGUGACGAAGCGUGAGUGACGGUAAUGGGUGAAGAAGCACCGGCUAACUACGUG
This 468-nucleotide ribosomal RNA is filed under the name uncultured bacterium. Its description in RNAcentral is "partial 16S ribosomal RNA". It matches the Rfam family "Bacterial small subunit ribosomal RNA", at positions 28 to 507 of the family's 1533-position model. The record is from RNAcentral.